RNAcentral lists this ribosomal RNA (174 nucleotides) under Trachycephalus atlas. RNAcentral's name for it is "partial 16S ribosomal RNA". Lineage: Eukaryota; Metazoa; Chordata; Amphibia; Anura; Hylidae. The record is from RNAcentral.
ACGUGAUCUGAGUUCAGACCGGAGUAAUCCAGGUCAGUUUCUAUCUAUAACGGAGCUCUUUCCAGUACGAAAGGACCGAAAAAGCAUGGCCAAUACCUUCUGCACGCCAUAAUUAACAAUUUAUGAUUAAACCUUAAUAAAUAAUUUAUCCGCCAACCAGCUCUAAAAAAGAGC